UACAGAGGUCUCAAGCGUUGUUCGGAUUCAUUGGGCGUAAAGGGUGUGUAGGUGGCGCCGUAAGUCGGGUGUGAAAUCUCGGGGCUUAACUCCGAAACUGCAUUCGAUACUGCGGUGCUUGAGGACUGAAGAGGAGACUGGAAUUCAUGGUGUAGCAGUGAAAUGCGUAGAGAUCAUGAGGAAGACCAGUGGCGAAGGCGGGUCUCUGGACAGUUCCUGACACUGAGACACGAAGGCCAGGGGAGCAAACGGG
This 253-nucleotide ribosomal RNA is filed under the name uncultured bacterium. Its description in RNAcentral is "partial 16S ribosomal RNA". It matches the Rfam family "Bacterial small subunit ribosomal RNA", at positions 524 to 776 of the family's 1533-position model. The record is from RNAcentral.